CAUGGAGGGUGAGAAUCCCGUCCGGUUGAUCAUUUGCGUUUUACGAUACGCUUUCUAAGAGUCAAGUUGUUUGGGAUUGCAGCUUAAAAUGGGAGGUAAAUUUCUCCUAAGGCUAAAUAACGGCGAGAGACCGAUAGCGAACAAGUACCGUGAGGGAAAGAUGAAAAGAACUUUGAAAAGAGAGUUAAACAGUACGUGAAAUUGUUGAAAGGGAAACGAUUGAAGCCAGUCGUACCUUCGGGUAAUCAGCCUUUCGGGUGCGAUUCUGUGGGGUUUGAGGAGCUUAACACCUUCAUGCUUUGCAUAUUCGUGCUCUUGGGUGUACUUGCCCGUGUGGUUGGUUAACAUCAAUUUCGGGCACCAUAAAAUGGCUGGGGGAAUGUAGCUUCGAUCUUGUAUUGAAGUGUUAUAGCCUUCGGUAGAUGUGGUGAUCGAGAUUGAGGAUUGCAACGGAUACCUUUCGGGGCUACCUGUCUGAUCUCUGAUCGUUGUUUUGGUGCUGAAAGCGUGCUUACGGUUAUCAAAGUCGAUGGUCAAUAGGUUAGAACGGGUUAAAUUCGUUAAGGAUGUUGACGUAAUGG
RNAcentral lists this ribosomal RNA (581 nucleotides) under uncultured Rhizophagus. RNAcentral's name for it is "LSU rRNA". It matches the Rfam family "Eukaryotic large subunit ribosomal RNA", at positions 204 to 637 of the family's 3401-position model. The record is from RNAcentral. Lineage: Eukaryota; Fungi; Glomeromycota; Glomeromycetes; Glomerales; Glomeraceae.